GCGAAAAGAACCCCGGCGAGGGGAGUGAAAAAGAACCUGAAACCGUGUACGUACAAGCAGUGGGAGCCCCACCACUAAGCCAGUGGUGAACUCCACAUACGCAUCCUUUGCUGAGGAUACGGUUAACGGAGCGAAAGCGACGUUCAACCGCAAAAGAAGCAGAGGGGGCUUAGUGGUGGGGUGACUGCGUACCUUUUGUAUAAUGGGUCAGCGACUUAUAUUCUGUAGCAAGGUUAACCGUAUAGGGGAGCCGUAGGGAAACCGAGUCUUAACCGGGCGUUAAGUUGCAGGGUAUAGACCCGAAACCCGGUGAUCUAGCCAUGGGCAGGUUGAAGGUUGGGUAACACUAACUGGAGGACCGAACCGACUAAUGUUGAAAAAUUAGCGGAUGACCUGUGGCUGGGGGUGAAAGGCCAAUCAAACCGGGAGAUAGCUGGUUCUCCCCGAAAGCUAUUUAGGUAGCGCCUCGUGAAUUCAUCUCCGGGGGUAGAGCACUGUUUCGGCUAGGGGGCCAUCCCGGCUUACCAACCCGAUGCAAACUGCGAAUACCGGAGAAUGUUAUCACGGGAGACACACGGCGGGUGCUAACGUCCGUCGUGAAGAGGGAAACAACCCAGACCGCCAGCUAAGGUCCCAAAGUCAUGGUUAAGUGGGAAACGAUGUGGGAAGGCCCAGACAGCCAGGAUGUUGGCUUAGAAGCAGCCAUCAUUUAAAGAAAGCGUAAUAGCUCACUGGUCGAGUCGGCCUGCGCGGAAGAUGUAACGGGGCUAAACCAUGCACCGAAGCUGCGGCAGCGACGCUGAUGCGUUGUUGGGUAGGGGAGCGUUCUGUAAGCCUGCGAAGGUGGCCUGUGAGGGUUGCUGGAGGUAUCAGAAGUGCGAAUGCUGACAUAAGUAACGAUAAAGCGGGUGAAAAGCCCGCUCGCCGGAAGACCAAGGGUUCCUGUCCAACGUUAAUCGGGGCAGGGUGAGUCGACCCCUAAGGCGAGGCCGAAAGGCGUAGUCGAUGGGAAACGGGUUAAUAUUCCCGUACUUGGUGUUACUGCGAAGGGGGGACGGAGAAGGCUAUGUUGGCCGGGCGACGGUUGUCCCGGUUUAAGCGUGUAGGUGUGUGUUCCAGGUAAAUCCGGUUCACUUUAACACUGAGGCGUGACGACGAGGCACUACGGUGCUGAAGCAACAAAUGCCCUGCUUCCAGGAAAAGCCUCUAAGCAUCAGGUAACACGAAAUCGUACCCCAAACCGACACAGGUGGUCAGGUAGAGAAUACCAAGGCGCUUGAGAGAACUCGGGUGAAGGAACUAGGCAAAAUGGUGCCGUAACUUCGGGAGAAGGCACGCUGACACGUAGGUGAAGUGAUUUACUCAUGGAGCUGAAGUCAGUCGAAGAUACCAGCUGGCUGCAACUGUUUAUUAAAAACACAGCACUGUGCAAACACGAAAGUGGACGUAUACGGUGUGACGCCUGCCCGGUGCCGGAAGGUUAAUUGAUGGGGUCAGCGCAAGCGAAGCUCCUGAUCGAAGCCCCGGUAAACGGCGGCCGUAACUAUAACGGUCCUAAGGUAGCGAAAUUCCUUGUCGGGUAAGUUCCGACCUGCACGAAUGGCGUAAUGAUGGCCAGGCUGUCUCCACCCGAGACUCAGUGAAAUUGAACUCGCUGUGAAGAUGCAGUGUACCCGCGGCAAGACGGAAAGACCCCGUGAACCUUUACUAUAGCUUGACACUGAACAUUGAGCCUUGAUGUGUAGGAUAGGUGGGAGGCUUUGAAGCGUGGACGCCAGUCUGCGUGGAGCCGACCUUGAAAUACCACCCUUUAAUGUUUGAUGUUCUAACGUGGACCCGUGAUCCGGGUUGCGGACAGUGUCUGGUGGGUAGUUUGACUGGGGCGGUCUCCUCCUAAAGAGUAACGGAGGAGCACGAAGGUUGGCUAAUCCUGGUCGGACAUCAGGAGGUUAGUGCAAUGGCAUAAGCCAGCUUGACUGCGAGCGUGACGGCGCGAGCAGGUGCGAAAGCAGGUCAUAGUGAUCCGGUGGUUCUGAAUGGAAGGGCCAUCGCUCAACGGAUAAAAGGUACUCCGGGGAUAACAGGCUGAUACCGCCCAAGAGUUCAUAUCGACGGCGGUGUUUGGCACCUCGAUGUCGGCUCAUCACAUCCUGGGGCUGAAGUAGGUCCCAAGGGUAUGGCUGUUCGCCAUUUAAAGUGGUACGCGAGCUGGGUUUAGAACGUCGUGAGACAGUUCGGUCCCUAUCUGCCGUGGGCGCUGGAGAACUGAGGGGGGCUGCUCCUAGUACGAGAGGACCGGAGUGGACGCAUCACUGGUGUUCGGGUUGUCAUGCCAAUGGCACUGCCCGGUAGCUAAAUGCGGAAGAGAUAAGUGCUGAAAGCAUCUAAGCACGAAACUUGCCCCGAGAUGAGUUCUCCCUGAGACUUAGAGUCUCCUGAAGGAACGUUGAAGACGACGACGUUGAUAGGCCGGGUGUGUAAGCGCAGCGAUGCGUUGAGCUAACCGGUACUAAUGAACCGUGAGGCUUAACCUU
This 2534-nucleotide ribosomal RNA is filed under the name Salmonella enterica subsp. enterica serovar Hartford. Its description in RNAcentral is "bacterial LSU rRNA". It matches the Rfam family "Bacterial large subunit ribosomal RNA", at positions 514 to 2925 of the family's 2925-position model. Lineage: Bacteria; Pseudomonadati; Pseudomonadota; Gammaproteobacteria; Enterobacterales; Enterobacteriaceae. The record is from RNAcentral.